UUAAGUAAGAAAGGGCGUACGGUGGAUGCCUAGGCACUUGAAACUGAAGAAGGACGCAACAAACGGCGAAACGCGGCGGGGAGCUGUACGUAAGCAAAGAUCCGCCGGUAUCCGAAUGGGGGAACCCGGCAUGCGUAAUAGCAUGUCAUCCGCAGAUGAACAAAUAGUCUGCGAGAGAGGUACCCGGGGAACUGAAACAUCUAAGUACCCGGAGGAAAAGAAAACAACAGUGAUUCCCUGAGUAGCGGCGAGCGAAAGGGGAGGAGCCCAAACCAGACCGAGGUCUGGGGUUGAAGGACCGCGAUACGGCAAGAAUCAUGGUAGGAGAACGGCAUUGAAAGGCCGACCGGAGAGGGUGCAAGUCCCGUAUCCGAAACCGUGAGGAAGCCCAGCGGGAUCCUGAGUACGGCGAGACACGAGAAAUCUUGUCGGAAGCAGGCGGGACCAUCCGUCAAGGCUAAAUAUAAGCAAGUGACCGAUAGUGAACCAGUACCGUGAGGGAAAGGUGAAAAGAACCGCGGGAGCGGAGUGAAAUAGAACCUGAAACCGUAUGCUUACAAGAAGUCAGAGCACGUUAAGGUGUGAUGGCGUGCCUUUUGUAGAAUGAACCGGCGAGUUAUGUUAUCGUGCGAGGUUAAGCAGGAGAUGCGGAGCCGAAGCGAAAGCGAGUCUUAAUAGGGCGGCAGUACGAUGACAUAGACCCGAAACCGUGUGAUCUAGCCAUGACCAGGUUGAAGUUCAGGUGAAACUGAAUGGAGGACCGAACCGACCCCCGUUGAAAAGUUGGCGGAUGAGUUGUGGCUAGGGGAGAAAUUCCAAUCGAACACGGAUAUAGCUGGUUCUCCCCGAAAUAGCUUUAGGGCUAGCGUCGAGGAUGAGUCUUGUGGAGGUAGAGCACUGAAUGUACGAUGGCCCCAUCCCGGGGUACUGAGUAUAAUCAAACUCCGAAUGCCAUGAGAUAUUCCCGGCAGUCAGACCGUGGGUGAUAAGGUCCAUGGUCAAAAGGGAAACAGCCCAGACCGCCAGUUAAGGUCCCAAAAUGUAUGCUAAGUGGAAAAGGAUGUGGGGAUGCACAGACAACUAGGAGGUUGGCUCAGAAGCAGCCAUCCUUCAAAGAGUGCGUAACAGCUCACUAGUCGAGUGACCCUGCGCCGAAAAUGUACCGGGGCUAAGCAUACUACCGAAGCUGCGGAUUUGUAGUAAUACAAGUGGUAGGGGAGCGUUCCAUGCACGUGGAAGCCAUACCGAAAGGAGUGGUGGAGAGCAUGGAAGUGAGAAUGCCGGUGUGAGUAGCGAGAUGCAGGUGAGAAUCCUGCACACCGAUAGCCCAAGGAUUCCAGGGGAAGGUUCGUCCGCCCUGGGUAAGUCGGGACCUAAGGCGAGGCCGAAAGGCGUAGUCGAUGGAAAACAGGCAGAUAUUCCUGUACCCGCGAUGGAAAUGAAGGAAUGACGGAGAAGGCUAGCAUGAGCCACUUAUUGGAUUGUGGUCGAAGCGAAUAGCAGGUGCAUAGUAAAAUGCGUGCACGGAAUGUAAAACGUGAUAGGUAAGCGAAACCUUUGGGGAGUAGCGAAGCAUGCGAGGCCAGCUUCCAGGAAAAGUUUCUAGUGCCAAUUCCAUAGCGGCCCGUACCAAAACCGACACAGGUGGGCAAGGAGAGUAUCCUGAGGUGAGCGAGAGAACUGUUGCCAAGGAACUCGGCAAAAUGACUCCGUAAGUUAGCGAGAAGGAGUGCUUAUGAAAGUAAGCCGCAGUGAAGAGGCCCAAGCGACUGUUUAACUAAAACACAGCUCUCUGCGAAGUCGCAAGACGAAGUAUAGGGGGUGACGCCUGCCCGGUGCUGGAAGGUUAAGAGGAUUUGUCAGUUUCGACGAAGCAAUGAAUUGAAGCCCCAGUGAACGGCGGCCGUAACUAUAACGGUCCUAAGGUAGCGAAAUUCCUUGUCAGGUAAGUUCUGACCCGCACGAAAGGUGUAACGAUUUGAGCACUGUCUCGACAACACGCCCGGUGAAAUUGAAGAACCAGUGAAGAUACUGGUUACCCGCAACAGGACGGAAAGACCCCAUGGAGCUUUACUGCAGCCUGAUACUGGGAUUCGAUGAUAUAUGUACAGGAUAGGAGGGAGACUAGGAAUCCGGGACGCCAGUUUCGGAGGAGUCGACGGUGGGAUACCUCUCUUAUGUUAUUGGAUUUCUAACUUGGCACCGUGAUCCGGUGUGAGGACAAUGUCAGGCGGGCAGUUUGACUGGGGCGGUCGCCUCCUAAAAGGUAACGGAGGCGCUCGAAGGUCACCUCAGAAUGAUUGGAAACCAUUCAAAGAGUGUAAAGGCAAAAGGUGGCUUGACUGCGACACCGACGGGUGGAGCAGGUACGAAAGUAGGACUUAGUGAUCC
This 2391-nucleotide ribosomal RNA is filed under the name human metagenome. Its description in RNAcentral is "bacterial LSU rRNA". It matches the Rfam family "Bacterial large subunit ribosomal RNA", at positions 3 to 2421 of the family's 2925-position model. The record is from RNAcentral.